CACUCCUACGGGAGGCAGCAGUGGGGAAUAUUGGACAAUGGGCGCAAGCCUGAUCCAGCCAUGCCGCGUGAGUGAUGAAGGCCCUAGGGUUGUAAAGCUCUUUCACCGGUGAAGAUAAUGACGGUAACCGGAGAAGAAGCCCCGGCUAACUUCGUGCCAGCAGCCGCGGUAAUACGAAGGGGGCUAGCGUUGUUCGGAUUUACUGGGCGUAAAGCGCACGUAGGCGGACUAUUAAGUCAGGGGUGAAAUCCCGGGGCUCAACCCCGGAACUGCCUUUGAUACUGGUAGUCUUGAGUUCGAGAGAGGUGAGUGGAAUUCCGAGUGUAGAGGUGAAAUUCGUAGAUAUUCGGAGGAACACCAGUGGCGAAGGCGGCUCACUGGCUCGAUACUGACGCUGAGGUGCGAAAGCGUGGGGAGCAAACAGGAUUAGAAACCCAGGUAGUCCC
RNAcentral lists this ribosomal RNA (446 nucleotides) under uncultured organism. RNAcentral's name for it is "partial 16S ribosomal RNA". It matches the Rfam family "Bacterial small subunit ribosomal RNA", at positions 334 to 797 of the family's 1533-position model. The record is from RNAcentral.